GCUGUUGAGGCUCAGCAGUUAAGAGCACUUGUUACUCUUUCAGAAGACCUGGGUUCAAUUCCCAGCACCAUCA
RNAcentral lists this transfer RNA (73 nucleotides) under Cricetulus griseus (Chinese hamster). It matches the Rfam family "tRNA". Rfam says of the family: Transfer RNA (tRNA) molecules are approximately 80 nucleotides in length. Their secondary structure includes four short double-helical elements and three loops (D, anti-codon, and T loops). Lineage: Eukaryota; Metazoa; Chordata; Mammalia; Rodentia; Cricetidae. The record is from Rfam by way of RNAcentral.